UUUCCGUAGGUGAACCUGCGGAAGGAUCAUUAUUGUAUAACCGAGGUGCGAGGGCUGUCGCUGACCCGAAAGGUCGUGCACGCCUGAGUGCCCCCACACACAUCCAUCUCACCCCUAUGUGCACCACCGCGUGGGUCCCCCUUUGGCUUGUUCGGAGGGGGGCUUACGUUUUCACACAAACUUUGUAUGCAGUGUAGAAUGUAUUUUUUGUUUUUGCGAUCACGCAAUCAAUACAACUUUCAACAACGGAUCUCUUGGCUCUC
Molecule: unclassified non-coding RNA, 263 nt
Filed under: plant metagenome
Description: partial contains small subunit ribosomal RNA, internal transcribed spacer 1, and 5.8S ribosomal RNA
Source: RNAcentral